Molecule: ribosomal RNA, 450 nt
Filed under: uncultured Glomeromycotina
Lineage: Eukaryota; Fungi; Glomeromycota
Description: SSU rRNA
Rfam family: Eukaryotic small subunit ribosomal RNA
Source: RNAcentral
AGCAGCCGCGGUAAUUCCAGCUCCAAUAGCGUAUAUUAAAGUUGUUGCAGUUAAAAAGCUCGUAGUUGAAUUUCGGGGUCAGUAGGUCGGUCGUGCCACUGGUAUGAACUGGUCUCACUGAUUCCUCCUUCUUGAAGAACCGUAAUGUCAUUAAUUUGGUGUUGCGGGGAAACAGGACUGUUACUUUGAAAAAAUUAGAGUGUUUAAAGCAGGCUAACGCUUGAAUACAUUAGCAUGGAAUAAUGAAAUAGGACGAGCGAUCCUAUUUUGUUGGUUUCUAGGAUUGACGUAAUGAUUAAUAGGGAUAGUUGGGGGCAUUAGUAUUCAAUUGUCAGAGGUGAAAUUCUUGGAUUUAUUGAAGACUAACUACUGCGAAAGCAUUUGCCAAGGAUGUUUCAUUAAUCAAGAACGAAAGUUAGGGGAUCGAAGACGAUCAGAUACCGUCGUAGU